Molecule: unclassified non-coding RNA, 333 nt
Filed under: Hevea brasiliensis (rubber tree)
Lineage: Eukaryota; Viridiplantae; Streptophyta; Magnoliopsida; Malpighiales; Euphorbiaceae
Source: RNAcentral
UUUUUUUGAAAUCGCAUGAUGAAUAACUAUAGUUUAAAAUACUGAUCAUUUGUUUCGUCUGGUACAAUAUUUACUUACAUGAUAGAACAGAGACCAAGGGAUUGCAAGAAGCUGAAGUUGGCAGAAUCCGGAAAACCAGACCUGAAGAUGCCAAUAUCGACCAUGGUGCAGUUCAUAGGUGGCACAAACAGGUCCUCUAUGUCUCAGUCAUUCUCAGCAUCUGCUACAAUGGCAGGAUAGUUGGCCAGAGGCAGAUUAUCUCGCAGCAAGGGUUCAAUGAACGUGAAAAUCUCGCCAUCAAAAAGAUCGAGUUUCAUUGCUGUUGGCCCCCAA